CCCAGCUCGUCAUGCUAGAGCACUUUUUCAAUGUGCUCCCCAAUGAGAUGGCGACAACGCAUUUGUAUGUCAAUCCAUAUCAACUUUCGAUGCCAUUGACUGCGCCUACCAUGGUGACCACGGGUAACAGGGAAUCAGGGUUUGAUUCCGUACAGGGACCCUGACAAACGGCUACCACAUGCAAGGAAGGCAGCAACGUGCAAAUGACCCACUCCCGACAUUGGAAGGUAGUGACG
Non-coding RNA from Pelobates cultripes (western spadefoot toad), 236 nucleotides. NCBI's taxonomy places the organism in Eukaryota, Metazoa, Chordata, Amphibia, Anura, Pelobatidae. The record is from the annotation of a GenBank genome assembly.